CUAGUGACGAAGUUGAUGUCACA
Molecule: non-coding RNA, 23 nt
Filed under: Arabidopsis thaliana (thale cress)
Lineage: Eukaryota; Viridiplantae; Streptophyta; Magnoliopsida; Brassicales; Brassicaceae
Source: RNAcentral